AUCCCGGCCCCUCCUCCGCCAGCCGCGUCCUCCCGGGCUUGGUGAGGAACUGUUCCUGGAGGAGCCGCGGGACGCCAAAACCAGCCAAUGGGAAGCGGCGAUUCGCGGAGAUUGGCACUGAUGAUGGGAAGGAAUAUUGAUCUCAGCGUUACUUUGACCAUUAAUGAAUUAUGAUGGCAAUAAGCAAAGAUUCGCACCUCUAGCCUCCGGGGAGCUUAAUCUUCUGCUACAACAUUUGCAUUUGGUGUCUCUCUACUGCUCAGGCUGGAGUGCAGUGGUGCGAUCAUAGCUCACUGCAGCCUCGACUUCCUGGGCUCAGGUGACCCUCUCGCCUGAAACCAUAUUCCCCCUCAAGUAGCUGAGACUACAGUUGCAGCAGCCUAGGAGGAAAGCAGCAGAGAAAGACAACCUGUGACCCUACUGAGCUGCAGGCAGAAGAAUCUUCUUUGUACUGCUCGAGGUCAAGAAUGUGUUUACCCCCUGGCCUAAUGCUCUGAACUUUUGCAUCUGAGUGCAGGACUUCAGGACCUCUGAAGGCCACCACGCAGUGGAAUGAAGCUCCCUAGCAGAAGCAACUGGAUUAAACGUGCAACAAGACCAGUCCACACCAGCCCCCCAAGUCACUGAACUCAAUGACAUCAUGCCCAGGCAGAGAAAGUCAACAGGCCUCUGGCCCGGGUCCCCUCCACUCCUCUCAUUUCUUCUGCCUCUCGCUGUUCUUAACCCAGGGACAGUAUUUAGAAAGCAGAGCGGGUUCAGGCAGCCCUCUCAAUUACUUUGGCUGGAACCUUCCUGAGUACAUUUUGCUAUCUCUUUGUGAUGUAAACAGGGGCAUUCACAGUUGGCAGGGGAUGCUCUUUCUGUUUUAAUUACACAUGGCAUAAUUAUAGUCCCAGGGUCUGGAAACAGCACAAAGUUCUUUGGAGAACUUCAUAGGGAUUUUUCUGUUAUGACAUAGUUUAUCAGGAGAAAAAAAAGUAAGGCAAAAGACAUUUCCAAAGAGGAACGAACAACACUAUUUAUACUAGCAUUCCAUUCCCUAAUGAGCAGAUCACAAAAUUGGAGUAGACAUUUUUUCUGGAGGCGGGGGUGGAGUUUCAAAAUUUUGGACUCAUGGACAGUGGUGGCAAAAUCUAGAUAAAUACUAAUGAAUGGAUGUGGGUGGAGAAGGAUAUAUACGUAAAUUUUUUUUACUUAAGAAAGCAAUUAGAAGGCAUCCAGCUGUAUCUGAGGGAAUUUGCACGUACCCUGGACCCUGAGGAUAUGGAAAAAGAUUCUACCAUAGUCAUAGUAAUCUGGCCUAAACCUGAGUCGUAAAAUUCUCUCUGCCCCCAGAUGUGCAGUAUGAGGGCACUUCAUUACUCUGCUGAUGUAGUGAGAAAUCGCAGAACUGCCAUGGUAAUGGAGAGUGCAGUGACAGAGAUGGGGAGAGACGGCUGUUUCUCUGUUAUGAAACAUGUUUUCAUAGGUAAUUCUGAUGUACAGUAGGUAUUAAAUAGAGCAACGAAAAGAUGUUUUAUUUUAGAUUACUGCUAGAGUGAUAUUUCCCCCAUGGCACUAAUAAUCUGGCUGCUUUCUAAAGCCUAUUUCCUCUCCCAGUUUCUCAUAGACUCCCAGCACUGUUUUGGCAGAAGGGUAAGCCAUUGCAUUGAAAUUUCUGCCUUGGAAAAGUAGAAGAUCAACUUUAUAUAUUAUGCAUUUUAUAUUUAGACUAGAGGGACAUGGUGCAUUUUUUUCUGGUGGGGAGGAAGAUAUUAAAUAAGUUCUGCUUUUGCAAUGUAGAGAUAGGAAUAUAUAUAGGGGGUAAAAAUAUUUCAAGAACGGCUUUUUGUAAUUGAGUGAUUUUUUUUUUUCUAAGACAGAGUCUUGCUCUGUUGCCCUGGCUGGAGUAUAGUGGCACAAUCUUGGCUCACUGCAACCUCCGCCUCCCAGGUUUGAGCGAUCCUCCUGCCUCGGCCCCCCUAGUAGCUGGGAUUACAGGCACGCACCACCAUGCCCAGCUAAUGUUUGUGUUUUUAGUAGAGACAGGGUUUUGCCAUGUUGGCCAGGCUGGUCUCAAACUCCUGACCUCAGGUGAUCCACCUGACUUACCCUCCCAAAGUGUUGGGAUUAUAGGCGUGAGCCACUGUGCCCAACCUCGAGUGAUCAUUUAAGACACCCCUGUAUGCAUGCAUGCUGGUUUGAAAUCCAGGGGACACACCACUUCAGCCUAGCCUCUCUGCUGUCUGUAUCACGGAGGACUCACAGACCUAGUUUAAUUGUAUGCUUCUUACAUAUUUCAAGGCUGACACAGGAACAGCAAUAAGAGGCCUGUGGUUGAAACCACAUCGUUUUCAUCACAGUGGAAAAAAAAUAAGGUCAUUGCAGGUUUGGAGCAUGGUUAGGUUUGAGCCUGCCCACAUUAUUUUAUUCAUGUUAAAAUAUAAAGAGAUGGCCGGGCGCGGUGGCACACGCCUGUAAUCCCAGCACUUUGGGAGGCCGAGGCGGGCGGAUCACGAGGUCAGGAGAUCGAGACCAUCCCGGCUAAAAAAACGGUGAAACCCCGUCUCUACUAAAAAUACAAAAAUU
Molecule: long non-coding RNA, 2568 nt
Filed under: Homo sapiens (human)
Lineage: Eukaryota; Metazoa; Chordata; Mammalia; Primates; Hominidae
Description: non-protein coding lnc-SPATA31D4-1:9
Source: RNAcentral